Molecule: ribosomal RNA, 631 nt
Filed under: uncultured bacterium
Lineage: Bacteria
Description: bacterial SSU rRNA
Rfam family: Bacterial small subunit ribosomal RNA
Source: RNAcentral
GCUUGUUGGUGGGGUGAUGGCCUACCAAGGCGACGACGGGUAGCCGGCCUGAGAGGGUGACCGGCCACACUGGGACUGAGGCACGGCCCAGACUCCUACGGGAGGCAGCAGUGGGGAAUAUUGGACAAUGGGCGAAAGCCUGAUCCAGCAACGCCGCGUGAGGGAUGACUGCCUUCGGGUUGUAAACCUCUUUCAGCGGGGACGAAGCGAAAGUGACGGUACCCGCAGAAGAAGCACCGGCCAACUACGUGCCAGCAGCCGCGGUAAUACGUAGGGUGCGAGCGUUGUCCGGAAUUAUUGGGCGUAAAGGGCUCGUAGGCGGUUUGUCACGUCGGGAGUGAAAACUCAGGGCUCAGCCCUGAGCCUGCUUCCGAUACGGGCAGACUAGAGUGCGGUAGGGGAGACUGGAAUUCCUGGUGUAGCGGUGAAAUGCGCAGAUAUCAGGAGGAACACCGGUGGCGAAGGCGGGUCUCUGGGCCGUAACUGACGCUGAGGAGCGAAAGCGUGGGGAGCGAACAGGAUUAGAUACCCUGGUAGUCCACGCCGUAAACGUUGGGCGCUAGGUGUGGGGCUCUUUCCACGAGUUCCGUGCCGCAGCAAACGCAUUAAGCGCCCCGCCUGGGGAGUACGG